GCGGCCGUGCAUCGGCGCCUUGACGGUGCCGCCCGCGCCGGCGUGGUCGAGGUCGACGUCGAACGGAUCGGGCGGUUCGAUCGCGACCUGCCGCCC
Molecule: transfer RNA, 96 nt
Filed under: Methylobacterium isbiliense
Lineage: Bacteria; Pseudomonadati; Pseudomonadota; Alphaproteobacteria; Hyphomicrobiales; Methylobacteriaceae
Description: tRNA-Ala
Source: RNAcentral